UACGUAGGUGGCAAGCGUUAUCCGGAUUUAUUGGGCGUAAAGGGAACGCAGGCGGUCUUUUAAGUCUGAUGUGAGAGCCUUCGGCUUAACCGGAGUAGUGCAUUGGAAACUGGGAGACUUGAGUGCAGAAGAGGAGAGUGGAACUCCAUGUGUAGCGGUGAAAUGCGUAGAUAUAUGGAAGAACACCAGUGGCGAAAGCGGCUCUCUGGUCUGUAACUGACGCUGAGGUUCGAAAGCGUGGGUAGCAAACGGG
Molecule: ribosomal RNA, 253 nt
Filed under: uncultured bacterium
Lineage: Bacteria
Description: partial 16S ribosomal RNA
Rfam family: Bacterial small subunit ribosomal RNA
Source: RNAcentral